GCGCAAUGAAAUAUAGUGUUACUAACUGACAAGAAAACACACAUUGACUGUGCUUCUACAUAAUUUAUUCAUAGAAGAACAGCCAGAAAGGCGAAAUUGAUGCAUUUGUGCCAAAUAUUAGCAUCAUUGACCCAUACCAAUGUACAGUACCUAUAAUUAUAGGUACCUAUACAGUUUGUUUGUAUGCUUCUUUAUCCAGUUUCUAUUCUAAUUUGCAGUUAAGUGGAAGAAAUAAAUGAAUUGAAAUACGAAUAAAAGUAUAAACAGCAGAUUUGAACUAAUAGAUUUUCAGCAAAUAAUAAUCCGACACAAAAAAAUAGUAAAGCAGACACUAACACGAUAUAACGUCGUCACCAAUGACUAAAUCUCUAAAAGAUGGACAAAAACAUUGUAGCUCUGACAUGGGCAUGAGGGAUAUAAAUUACUGAAAAAUAGCUGCAGGUGAAGUUGAUUGACCGCAAGUGCUCAGUUUGUGAUCACAUCUAUGUUUUGUUCUGUUGAUAUGUCGUCCAAAAUUUUGUAGCUUGAAACGGAUGGAAAAUUACUGAAUUGUGCUGCUUUUAUGGCCCCUCAAACAUGCCAUGCUGGGUUUUCUCAGCUUGGGUUUCAGGUUUUGGAAAGGGAAAAAAAUUCUACCAUCCUUCCUGUCCAAACUUUUAGGAUACCGGGUAUUAGAUUUGCACAGUCCAUAUGCACGACGCUUUGGCUUGUUUACCUUGCUCGAAAGCUUGACAGACCUCCUACUCGUAGCUACACUUGCUUAGCCAUGAUUGGUGUGUGGCUUUUUUCGGGUGUGGCUUAGCAAAGGGUCAAUUGGAUAUAUCAUCAUUGGAAGAGACCGCCACUUAGACAGUAACUUUUUGUUCAGACACCUAUCUCGUAAUACGUUGAUGGUAUUCUUUAGGAAAUAUACAUAAAGUUGACUUACACAAAGUGUCAAAUAAAGUUUUUAUUUGCACAAAUUUCAGUAAAUGACUAGUUGACUCGAUUGCACAUCGUACUGAAUAGAAAUGUCUUGUGUAUGCAUAUACUUUAUUUUCCUGAUUUGGUUUAGUAGUUUGUUCAAAUUAGGUGUUUGUUUAGCCAAGUAAGUUACAUGUUAAGUAAAUUCACACAAUGCAAUACAAUGUAAUGAUAAAUUAAUGAAUGCAAUUUUAUUUGUGUAUAUGGCUCUAUAUGGCCUGUUUAAAAGAGAGAGAGAGAGAGAGAGAGAGAAAGAGAGAGAAAGAGAAAGAAAGAGAAAGAGAUGUUGCUCCCAUAACCGUCAGGCGGUUUUGCUAUUUAAGUACUUCAUAUAUGACAGUAUUUUAUUAUCCGGUUUUUUAGCUGUUACUACUCAUUUUAUAGGAAUGGAGAACUUAAAUUUGCACAUAAUGACAAAAUAAUUUUGAAGAGAGUAUGAACAGAUUUGCCACAUGCUUUACUAAAUCGUUUGAUCGAAAAUGGUUAAGGGUCACAUAUUUGCUAAAGAUUGCUGUCCUGUCAGUAUUGUACUGCACUUUUACAGCAAAUAACAAUAAGUUACUUAGCAAAUAAACCUAUAGUCUUAUUAAAUGAAUGUAAAUAAUUGUACAUUUACCAUAAACUGAAUAGCAAAAUUUAUUUGUUGCAGGUUUCAGUAACAAACAAAUCCAACAUUGGCUCAGAAGUUAAGCCAAUGGCUUCAGCUCCACCAAAUAAUGAGGAGGAAACUGCUGAUAAUAGCCUUAUUACUUCAGUAAACAUCUAUUCUUUUCACACUCUGGCAACAGCUAUCAAAAAUGGUUGUCAAUUUUUUAAAAAGUUUAAGUACAGACAAGACAACAACAUUGUUAUAUUGCUUUUUCAGCUGAUGAGGGAUGAAACAAAAUCCUUAUUUGCCUGAGCAUUUUAAGGGACAGAGGACAAAACAUUUUCUGUUGAGCACAUAAGAAGAUAUUUUGAAGAAUGUUAGAAACCACCAACCUUUGACUUCUAUAGUCAAAUACUAGAAGUCAACGGUUACCAGUUUCCAACCUUCAAAAUAACAUUAUUUGGGUUCAACAGAAGAAAGAAACUUAAACAGGUUUGUGACAAGUGAAGGGUGAGUAAAUGAUAACAUAAUUGUCAGUUUUAGGUGAACUAUCCCUUUAUUUUAAAAGCUUAAUGAUAUGCACAAAGUGUGUUAAAAUACCUGUGGAGAUUUGGGGGUCAAUGGCAUCUAAAAGUUCAAAGCUCCUCAAAUCAACAUGUUAAAUAUUUUCAUUUGUUUAGAAGGGGGGCGGCCUAGUUAUGGUGGAGUUGAUCCACCUGGAGAUGGUGAGACGCCUUCAGAAACCAGCUCUGAUAACCAAAAGAUCAGGAAGAGGGUUCCAGAAACUGGCGGAUGGUUUUUGAAGGUUGUCUGUCGCUUUCAAGAUGGCCAGCCAUUCUGGAUCAAACUCAAGCUUCUUGUAGGAGCUUCCUCCACAAUCUGCAAUGACAAAACAACGGAAUCUACUUCUGGAUCUCACUAAACAUGCUGAAUGAUGGAAACAGCAGGAUCAUUACCUGAAAGAAGACAUUCGACAAGUGAGAGAAACCUGUUGAUCUUCAGCAGCAUUAUUCAUGAUUCUCAGCCUGAAGAGACAAACAGCUUAUUGUUACUCAUUUUAAACUGAUCUCUACAUUUUAUUCAGCCUUUUUUACACAUUUCAUGCCUGAAGCCUGUAACUGGAGAGAUAUAAAGUCAGAUUUGAGUUCACAUUGUCAUAAAUAAAAAAUAAUGAAAACGUGA
This is a non-coding RNA of Danio rerio (zebrafish), 2734 nucleotides long. NCBI's taxonomy places the organism in Eukaryota, Metazoa, Chordata, Actinopteri, Cypriniformes, Danionidae. The record is from RefSeq and is a predicted model, not a curated record.